GCGAGACUCUGUGGGGGUAGGACCCUCUGAGCCACGUGCCGGAUAUAAUCUCGUGGUGCGCCGUUUUUUUAAGCCGUUCGGAAAAGCACAGUAUUCGGGUGGGAGUGACCCGAUUUUCCAGGUGCGUCUGUCACCCCUUUCUUUCACUCAGAAAGGGAACUCCCUGACCCCUUGCGCUUCCCAAGUGAGGCAAUGCCUCGCCCUGCUUCGGCUCGCGCACGGUGCGCGCACCCACUGACCUUCGCCCACUGUCUGCCACUCCCAAGUGAGAUGAACCCGGUACCUCAGAUGGAAAUGCAGAAAUCACCUGUCUUCUGCGUCGCUCACGCUGGGAGCUGUAGACUGGAGCUGUUCCUAUUCGGCCAUCUUGGCUCCUCUCAGAUGAUAAAAUUCAGGCCAAGAGAAGCAAAGACAGCAAAGACUGACAUAAAAAAGAAACAACAAAAACAACUCUUGUUAAUGAUGUAGAAUUAAUCUGAAUUCUCCAAAAACCUGCCUCUUUUGGAGGACUCCUUAUUGCUGCUGCCAUGGGAAGAAGGAUGUGUUCGCUUCUCCACUACUGUGGUUGUAAAUUUUCUGAAACCUCCACAGCCAUGCUGAACUGGAUCAUUGAAGUAGCAGUGGCAACGAUGUUAUGAAAGUUCCAUGGACGUCAGAGAUCCAGGAUCUUCUUGUUUCCUCACCACCAUCAUCAACUUCUCUGUCUUUUUUGGUUAAAAAGCCACCACAUCUACGACUGCAGUUUUCCCAGCAGAAAACAGGCUUGCAUUCUUGGAAGGUAAAGGGAUAAGAAGCUGUGAAGGUUACGUAAUGGAGAUGAAAGGCAAGCUACAGGAAGUGAAAUUGGCAAUUCUUCUUGGUCCCUGUUUGGGAAAAUGUGAAUCUCAUCCUCUCAGUUUCUAGUUUGACAGACUAUAAGAGUUAGAGACGAAUGCUGAAAGACCAUGAAAAAUCUCAGAGACAAGUCAUUUCUGGGACAAUAAAUAGCGGAAGACAGCAUUUAACAAUGAAUUAAGGGAAAUUCCAUUCUUUCCUGUAUUUCAGCACUGCGGAAGUCUACGAAGCAGUUAAUGUUAAGAAAUACCAUUGACUAAAAAAAAAAAAAUGAUUUUCUGCAUUGGAUGUUAAAAGAUAUGAAGCAAGAAAUUGACCAUUCAGUGGAACAAUGUGAAUCCUAAAUUAUCUAAAUAAAAACAAGAGGAUCAGUUAAUUCAGAAAAAAGAAUUGUAUAAAUUCUGGAACUCGGUAGAUAUAUUCUCCUUAACAAAUUCUGGCAAAGAAUUCUCCCAAUCACUUAUUCAUUAGGGAUUGAGAAUUGACACUAGAAACAGAUAACUUGUGCUUAAUAUUGUGCUUAAGCUUUAAGCAUAGAAAAUUUCCUUGAUGCAAGGGGGUUACUGUGUCACCUCAAGUUAAAAGGCAAUUUAGGAAGUGAUAUGUAACUAGCAGUUUGAAAGUAUUCUAAAUAUUACUUGCUAACAAAAUUCACUCUCUACAGAAGGGACAUACCUAACAAAGAAUACAUCUUGCAGAUUGCUACAUAAAGAGUAAGUACAUUGACAAAUAUUAUGUACUUAAAAUAUAUACAGCUCUGUACUUAGCAUGCCACAUAGAAUUCCUUAAUAUUCCUCUUAACAGCUGUACAAGUUAACUUGACUUUUAUACGCAUUAUACACAUGAAAAAAAUGAGAUGAGAAAGGCCAAAUAAAAUGAAUGAAUGAAUGAAUGAGUUUUUAAAAUUUAUUUUGACAUGAGAGCCAAUCCUAUCAGCCUUGCUGAUUUCUUCAAAAUACUUGCAAAUAAGUUGCUAUAAUAUAAAAACAUCUUCUUAUUGUUUCUCUCUCCUUAAGGAUUUCUCUGAGACAUUUCUAAUAUUUAAAUCUUUUUUCCCAUAGGUUGUCUUUCACGGUACUUUGUAUACACUACUUUGGGUUCAUAUGCCUCAAGUGAAAAAUUGGUCUAAUAACAUUAAUACCUCUGUCACAACCCCAUUGCACAUGAUCAGUUCUAAUAAUGGGUUUUAAAGUAAUUUUGUUUUAUUUUAAAUUACUAUUCAGAUAUCAGUCACUAUGACAUCAGACUUUUUACUCUCUGUGAUAGUUAUAUAUCAACUUAGCUGGAGUAUAGUAUCAAGUUAUUCAAUAAAACACUAAUCUAGGUGUCACUGUGAAGGGAUUUUGUAGAUAUGAUUAACAUCUACAUUUAGUUGACACUAAGUAAAGGAGAUUUUCCUUGAUAAUGUGGUCAAGCCUCAUCCAAUCAAUUGAAAGGCCUGAGCUUUUCUAGAGGAAGAAGUAAUUUUAUCUCAGGACUCCAGCAUUAGCUACUGCUGGACAAUCCCAGCAUCCCAACCUGCCCAACAGAUUUUAGACUAGACUUACCACCUCAUAUGAGCACAUAGCAGAUUCCCAGAAAUCAAUCUAUCUACCUAUGUAUCUAUCAAUCUAUCAUCUCUCUCCUACUGCUUCUGUUUCUGUAGAUGACACUGACAGAUGUGAAUAUUCACAUAAAAGCUGUCAAUAUGCAUGUUCCUUCCUACUACUUGUACCAAUUAAGCAAAGAGUGUAACGGAUGCAUAUUUUUCUAAAGAAUUUCUGUAUGUGUUCUCCGAUUAUUGGUCAGAAAUAAAAAUAUGUUUAUAAUGCAAAAUUCAUAAAAUGUGUAUAAAUGAUAAUGUAUAUGCCUAUAUAAGUGUGUGUUUUUCUGUGUAUACAUAUAUGUAUAUAUGAGUGUGUGUGUAUGUGUGUGCAUUUUUUUGUAACUGAUACUGUGGCCUUUUAUAUCUACCAAAAUCCAGGACUAGUUUAGAAAAGAAAUUACAGCAGCAUUCUAAAAUUUACUUGUUUGAUAUAAAUAUAUUUUUGUAACUUUUUUUGCCUGACAUUUGUGCUGUAAAUCAAAAGUACUUUUGUGAAAGCAAUUUUUUUAAACAAUCUUCUCUGAAAUUGUGUAGGAGGAAGUGAAUCGCUACCACUCAAUCCUGACAUUAAUUCAACAGACACAUAUUUUGAUUUCUGAAGAAUUAUGGAAACAUUCUUUCAGAAGAGAACAAUGAAAGAUAGCAUUCUGUGUUUAGCACAUUUCCCCUUUCCAAGUGGCAGUGGAGCGUUGUAACAGCAAAGUAAAUUGCUUCUUAUUUCUAUGUGCUUUUUAAAACUGUGACACUGACUGAGCUGAACCACCAAGACCACAUCUGUACACAGCUAAAUAAAAGGUUUUACAUGAUGGCAAAACUGGGCAGAAUUAAUUUGUCCUUGGAUGUACUGAUGAUUGCAAUGCUUACACCACUGCUUUAUACACAGUAGGGUAACACUCAGAGUACUAUCAUGAAAUUCAGUUUUUAAUUUAAAAGAUUUUGAAAAAAGGACUCAUUACACAGGUAUGGCCAAGAUGAAGAGACACAGAAACGUCUGAUUGUAUACUGUAGCAUUAGUGACAGAUUGCCUGAGCAAGAAGUGAGAAAAAUAUUACUGAAGCCUCAGAGAGUUUGAAGCUUUAGAAAUAAAGCUGCCUAGCAAGAAUUGCAACCAUAGAAUAUAGUCAUUGCCCCAGAUUGAAGCAAGGCAAGGACAGGGGUUUGUUAGGAGUGAUGAAUACCUUGAUCUUUCUCUGUUCCAGCCAGCCCUCUAAUUUUCUGUGAUACUACUGGCCAAACCCAAUCAGAGGCUAAAAUUCAAGUGAUAUUGGGUGAUACGUGUGUAGGGCCAAAACUCCUUGAAAACAGAACAGGGAAGGGCUUGGAACAAUGGAGUUUCAAGGAGAGUAGCAAAUUAACAUAGUAGACAUACAAUCUAUAAGUUCGAGUUGAGGGCAGAAAUCAGUCUAGGCUGUUCAAUGGUAUGAAGUCAGGAACAAGGAUCAUACUUCUGAGCCAUAUGGAGGUAAGAUGCUAGAGGGAGAUGGUAAGUAAGCUACUAUUUUUUCCACUUAUGUAAGUAGAAA
RNAcentral lists this long non-coding RNA (3942 nucleotides) under Homo sapiens (human). Its description in RNAcentral is "HSALNT0110158". The record is from RNAcentral. Lineage: Eukaryota; Metazoa; Chordata; Mammalia; Primates; Hominidae.